AAUUCGUAUUAAUAUUCCA
RNAcentral lists this microRNA (19 nucleotides) under Tribolium castaneum (red flour beetle). RNAcentral's name for it is "tca-miR-3819-5p". The record is from miRBase by way of RNAcentral. Lineage: Eukaryota; Metazoa; Arthropoda; Insecta; Coleoptera; Tenebrionidae.